GAUGAACGCUGGCGGCGUGCCUAAUACAUGCAAGUCGAGCGAACGGACGAGAAGCUUGCUUCUCUGAUGUUAGCGGCGGACGGGUGAGUAACACGUGGAUAACCUACCUAUAAGACUGGGAUAACUUCGGGAAACCGGAGCUAAUACCGGAUAAUAUUUUGAACAGCAUGGUUCAAAAGUGAAAGACGGUCUUGCUGUCACUUAUAGAUGGAUCCGCGCUGCAUUAGCUAGUUGGUAAGGUAACGGCUUACCAAGGCAACGAUGCAUAGCCGACCUGAGAGGGUGAUCGGCCACACUGGAACUGAGACACGGUCCAGACUCCUACGGGAGGCAGCAGUAGGGAAUCUUCCGCAAUGGGCGAAAGCCUGACGGAGCAACGCCGCGUGAGUGAUGAAGGUCUUCGGAUCGUAAAACUCUGUUAUUAGGGAAGAACAUGUGUGUAAGUAACUGUGCACAUCUUGACGGUACCUAAUCAGAAAGCCACGGCUAACUACGUG
This 497-nucleotide ribosomal RNA is filed under the name uncultured bacterium. RNAcentral's name for it is "partial 16S ribosomal RNA". It matches the Rfam family "Bacterial small subunit ribosomal RNA", at positions 28 to 507 of the family's 1533-position model. The record is from RNAcentral.